UGGGGAAUAUUGGACAAUGGGCGCAAGCCUGAUCCAGCCAUGCCGCGUGAGUGAUGAAGGCCUUAGGGUUGUAAAGCUCUUUCGCCGACGAAGAUAAUGACGGUAGUCGGAGAAGAAGCCCCGGCUAACUUCGUGCCAGCAGCCGCGGUAAUACGAAGGGGGCUAGCGUUGUUCGGAAUCACUGGGCGUAAAGCGCACGUAGGCGGAUUGUUAAGUCAGGGGUGAAAGCCUGGAGCUCAACUCCAGAACUGCCCUUGAUACUGGCAAUCUCGAGUCCGGAAGAGGUAAGUGGAACUGCGAGUGUAGAGGUGAAAUUCGUAGAUAUUCGCAAGAACACCAGUGGCGAAGGCGGCUUACUGGUCCGGUACUGACGCUGAGGUGCGAAAGCGUGGGGAGCAAAACAGGAUUAGUAUACCCUGGUAGUCCACGCCGUAAACGAUGGAGGCUAGCCGUUGGCGAGCAUGCUCGUCAGUGGCGCAGCUAACGCAUUAAGCCUCCCGCCUGGGGAGUACGGUCGCAAGAUUAAAACUCAAAGGAAUUGACGGGGUCAUAGCUG
Molecule: ribosomal RNA, 556 nt
Filed under: uncultured bacterium
Lineage: Bacteria
Description: partial 16S ribosomal RNA
Rfam family: Bacterial small subunit ribosomal RNA
Source: RNAcentral